GAUGAACGCUGGCGGCGUGCUUAACACAUGCAAGUCGAGCGAAGCAAUUUAAGUGAAGUUUUCGGAUGGAUCUUAGAUUGACUGAGCGGCGGACGGGUGAGUAACGCGUGGAUAACCUGCCUCACACAGGGGGAUAACAGUUAGAAAUGACUGCUAAUACCGCAUAAGCGCACGGUACCGCAUGGUACAGUGUGAAAAACUCCGGUGGUGUGAGAUGGAUCCGCGUCUGAUUAGGUAGUUGGUGAGGUAACGGCCCACCAAGCCGACGAUCAGUAGCCGACCUGAGAGGGUGACCGGCCACAUUGGGACUGAGACACGGCCCAAACUCCUACGGGAGGCAGCAGUGGGGAAUAUUGCACAAUGGGCGAAAGCCUGAUGCAGCAACGCCGCGUGAGUGAAGAAGUAUCUCGGUAUGUAAAGCUCUAUCAGCAGGGAAGAAAAUGACGGUACCUGACUAAGAAGCCCCGGCUAACUACGUGCCAGCAGCCGCGGUAAUACGUAGGGGGCAAGCGUUAUCCGGAUUUACUGGGUGUAAAGGGAGCGCAGACGGCACUGCAAGUCUGAAGUGAAAGCCCGGGGCUCAACCCCGGGACUGCUUUGGAAACUGUAGAGCUAGAGUGCUGGAGAGGCAAGCGGAAUUCCUAGUGUAGCGGUGAAAUGCGUAGAUAUUAGGAAGAACACCAGUGGCGAAGGCGGCUUGCUGGACAGUAACUGACGUUCAGGCUCGAAAGCGUGGGGAGCAAACAGGAUUAGAUACCCUGGUAGUCCACGCCGUAAAC
RNAcentral lists this ribosomal RNA (779 nucleotides) under uncultured bacterium. RNAcentral describes it as "bacterial SSU rRNA". It matches the Rfam family "Bacterial small subunit ribosomal RNA", at positions 28 to 807 of the family's 1533-position model. The record is from RNAcentral.